This 72-nucleotide transfer RNA is filed under the name Phrynosoma platyrhinos (Desert horned lizard). RNAcentral's name for it is "tRNA-OTHER". It matches the Rfam family "tRNA". Rfam says of the family: Transfer RNA (tRNA) molecules are approximately 80 nucleotides in length. Their secondary structure includes four short double-helical elements and three loops (D, anti-codon, and T loops). The record is from RNAcentral. Lineage: Eukaryota; Metazoa; Chordata; Lepidosauria; Squamata; Phrynosomatidae.
GCCAGUGUGGCAUAGCAGUUUGAGCAUUGGACUGCGACUCUGGAGGUCAGGGUUCAAAUCCCGGCUCAGCCA